CCGCGCCGCGCGGCCUUGGAGAGGAGUGGAGACCCGAGCGACUCCCGGGCCCGAAAGUUGGGUUAGGAAGAACUCAAAGGAAAUACAGAAAAUGUAACAAUGAGGAAAGCAUCUGGAUUCCAGAUCUUUGUCAGCAGCAGGGUUCCUGAGUCAGAAGUCAUACUGACUGGUGGCAGCCUCCUUCAGCCAGUGAGCCUUGGAGAAGAGAUGCUUAUCUAGAUAGCUCGGAUCAUCUUCGCCAGCUUCGAGAAUCGCAGCUAGUGAAAAGAAACCCAUCAUGCUUCCUAUCCCAUAAUUGGCUUCUCACCAUGAUGGAGAUGCAGGAUGGAAAGAGGAAAACUUUAGUUUCAAAUGGAUUUCAUAGUUUUAUUUUUUCAGACUGGACAUUUCAAUUACUAGACUGAGAUUGUCCUGGGAACUAAAGUGAUACUUUAUUAUCUGGGAGUGACUGGAAUAGUCUUAAGACAUGAUCUAGUUUUCAGGUGGGGCAGGUAAGAAACAGCUUCAGAGGAGUUGUAUGAAUUGUUAAUCAGUCAGGGGGAGACUGCUGCCUUGUCACAGACAAGUUGGAUGCUGAUCAAUUCCAUUUCCUCUUCCAGGGAACACAAGAAAAGUAAUUCUCAGCUUCUGUUGUAGUUGGGUUGGGUUCAUGUGACUGGGAUCUCGCCAGUAAAAUGUGAAUGGAGAUAUACUAUUAUGUAGCGCGAGCUAUAAACCACUCCAGUGAUUCCCAGUCUAAUUUUCUCCUGACCUAUGCCUAGAAAUGAGGGAGACUAUACAUGAGGGAAAUCAUGCUGUGUAAUGGGAAGUCAAUAUCCCUGAGUCACUGCUUGGAAGCCAGCACUACAUCAAGAUCUCCAGCAAAUCACCUGACCCUAGGCAGACUGUAA
Non-coding RNA from Kogia breviceps (pygmy sperm whale), 890 nucleotides. The record is from RefSeq and is a predicted model, not a curated record. Lineage: Eukaryota; Metazoa; Chordata; Mammalia; Artiodactyla; Physeteridae.